Molecule: long non-coding RNA, 542 nt
Organism: Drosophila virilis
Lineage: Eukaryota; Metazoa; Arthropoda; Insecta; Diptera; Drosophilidae
Source: RefSeq, a predicted model, not a curated record
GCACAUAGAGAAGAGUUCAACAUUUCUCUACUGAGUCAUGAAAAGAUUCAUUAAAAACAUACAAUGCUUUCUAUAAUAUAUCCGUCUAGACUGACUGAAACAGAAAGGUGACAAAAAAUUUGUCAACUUUAUCGGGUGGCACUUCCAUGUGUUACACAUUAGCUGAACAAAUUAAAAUACCCUCCUUAUGGGUGUAAAAAUGCUCCGUAGAAGCAUACAUUGCGAAUACAACGCGGAUUACGUCGAGCAUAUUGCCCGCCGCUGGGUGUUUGGUUCUCGAUUCUGGUUUGGCGGUUUUUUCCACUUAAUACCCUGUACGCUCUGAAAGGGGGUGUAAUAGGGGUGUUCGCUGCUUCUAUAAAGGUAUCUCAUGGCCGGUUACUCUAGACUAAGGCGCUCACGCUUGUUUAAAUUUAAUAUAAAAACACAUUUUGGCUGCUGUUUAAAUAUAAUUACACUCACUCUGCGGGCUGCACUCAUAAUUUAAUUAAAAUUUAUAAAUUACUUUGUUUGAACGUGACCGGAAAAACGCCGCCUGGUUU